CUGUGAGGUAGGUACUGUUAUUAUCCGCUUUUGCCAUUUGAGAAAACUGAGGCCUAGAUAAACUGAGUAAUUUGUGAGACUCAUACAGAUCAGGAAGUGGUGGAGUGAGAAACCCAGGCAGUCUGACUUUACACUCCACACUUUUAACCUGCAAGUUUUAUCGCUUCUAUAAUUGCAUAAUAGUCCAUGAAUGAAUGGACUAUAAUUUAUUCAAGCAUUUUGCUGUUGAUGGAGAUUGAGGUGAUUUCCUCUUUUCCUCCUUUUAUCUUGCUACUGCCAACCAUGUUGAAAUAACACUGAAAUACAUACCGAUACUCUUUUUUUCUGUUGAAAGAGCCCCACAUUAAUUUCUUCCUGCGCCUCAUUUGGGAGAACACUACCAACUCUGGCAGUCUCAGUCCUGGUUAGGCAGUGGGUCCUGGUUAUCAUAAUUCAUAUUCCAAUGGCCAGUUAGGAAUUUUUGUUUCACCAGUUCCUCUGAACCCUCCACAUAUCUCUCUAGUACAGGGCAGAGUGGAGAGGCCUGUAUAAGUCAAUGCAGCUUAUAUUUAGAAACAGGAGGAAGUGAACUGUAAGGGAUUAUCUUCUCCUAGAUGUGUCAGAUGCAAUCACACAGCAUAGAUUUAUGAAGCGGAGUGAAAUAUUUGUUUUGAUUGCUCACUGAUUAAGAAUACAUAAUCUUGACAGACAUCUAGGGCAACUACUCUUACUGUAAGAAUCUGGGUCAGGGGUGCCCAGCUUCUUCUAAUUCAGCAGUCUCAUUUCAUUAAAGGACUAUGCAAAGAAACCUCAGUUUGGGUCUGUACGAUUGGCUGCUUCAUCUUCGGUAUUUCACGUUGCAGGAGCCCCAGCAGUUGCCAACGUUAUUGUCUGUCAAUGUGUAAUGUCAUCUUCAUAGUUGUUCAGUAUAGAGUUUGGAAAAGUAUCUGAGUAUCUUAUGAAAAACGAACAUACCAUAUGAAAAGUGGACAUAUAAUUUAAUACUAAAAUAAUUUAUGAAGAUAUUUGAGGUAAGGUGUUAGACCAAACCCCACAUGUUGGAGAUGCUUAAAAGUGGGGUUUUGCAAAAACCUGAAAAUUAUUUAAAAGGAAAUGGUUAAAAAUCUCAAGAGAUAUGUUUUAAAAAUUUAAUCUAGAAGCUCUGCAGGAUAGGUAUUUAUCAACAGAUUGCUAUGGUGUGCUACUACAUGAAAAUUGGACAGUAAAACACAUUUGGUUAUUUUAAGUUAAAUUAUCCAGUGAAAUGCAAAGGGGAAAAUCAUAGCAUAAAUUGGGAGAUCUUGUGUUUGUGGCUGGAUAGUACUUUUGUAUUUUUGUGUGAGGUGGUGGGUAGGGGUAGAUAAGCAUGUGAUCUCCUUAAAAUAUUUUUCUUUAGUACAGUGUAAGCUUUAGGGUAACCAGUUGUUACUCUAUACAGUCUAUGUUUGAAAGAAAUGUAUUCAAGACCAAAAAUUAAUGAUUACAUAUGUAAGAACUUCUGCUUUCAAAAGCAAAACAUCACAUCAUCUCUGUCCUGAAGUGUUAGCGUGUCUGUUUCUUGCGUCAGUAGCCGUCUCCAUUUCUGUCUGCUCAGGAGCAUUUAAAUCAAAAGCCUCACCCUUAAGCAUACAGGAUGCAGGCCUCAAUCCCUUCUUUACUCUGUUCAUGCAAGGGUGGGAAAUGUGACAGAUGUUUUAACCAACCCACGUUAUCUUUAAUACCACUGUUUUCACCAGCGAGAGCCUGUUUCUACAUCCACGGUGCGAAGAUGCUGCUGAUUUCACCAAAGGAACUCAGUUUCUGAAAUUCUUGAUACUCAUUAGCAAAAGCACAGGUACACUCUUCCACCUUGUUCUGAGCCCUGGUGGUUGGACAACUUCACCAGACUACCUUAUUCUCUGGUUCCAGGUGGUCCUGGCUGCUCUGGUAAUCUUCCCUCAAGUCUGUGGAAUUUUCACAUGACUCUUCUUCAAAGGGUGGAGUCCGUGGAAUGUGUGUGACCUUCACCGCAUUGUUGAAUGACUGUCCAUCAGAAAAAACAAAAAGUGAAGGGCCACUGGGCAAGUGGGUUUGCUGUACCAGCUAGAAUUCUGGAAAGAGAAUCAGGAAAUCUGGACCCAGUUAUUCAUCACCAUCCAUCCAACCAGCCAUCCGCUAUUCAUGGAGUCAGACAAUAAUUUGUAGAGUGCACCUAUGUGCCUGGAGUGUCUCUAAGACAAUGUGACUUGAUGACGUAAUACAAACUCUUCUAGUUCUGCUUCCUUGCAUUUAAAACUAGGUGAUAUAACAAAACUUUCUCUGUCUAUUACCAAUUGAAUGCUUUUACAGUUCUUGUAUGUGCUGACCUCCAGAUCUGACAAGGUAGGGUAAUGUUUCUCAAAGUCCAGCCUGGGUACCACCUGCAGCAGAAUCUCCUGGGUGCUUAAUAAAAAAAAAAAAAGCAGAUCCUGAGGUUUCCCCAAAUCUUCUGAAUCAGAAACACUGGGAGUUGGGGACCAGGACUUCUGGUUUUAAACAAGCUCUCCGGGUUAUUCUCAUGCACACUUGAAGUUUGAGAUGUACAGCUAUAUGGAUGCAAAAUAAAUACCUA
This is a long non-coding RNA of Aethalodelphis obliquidens (Pacific white-sided dolphin), 2569 nucleotides long. RefSeq lists it as uncharacterized. The transcript is spliced from 5 exons. Lineage: Eukaryota; Metazoa; Chordata; Mammalia; Artiodactyla; Delphinidae. The record is from RefSeq and is a predicted model, not a curated record.